AGCUUUUCACAGUGCCAGUAUUGUAGCAAAUGUGGUUUAUCCAAGGCAUGAUUAUUGCUAAUUGAAAACUUUUCCCGGGGCACCUGGCUGGCUCAGUCAGGGAAGUAUGUGACUCUAUCUCCAUCAUGGGUUUGAGCCCCAUAUUGGGUGUAGAUA
Molecule: non-coding RNA, 156 nt
Organism: Canis lupus familiaris (dog)
Lineage: Eukaryota; Metazoa; Chordata; Mammalia; Carnivora; Canidae
Source: Rfam